RNAcentral lists this non-coding RNA (594 nucleotides) under unclassified sequences. RNAcentral describes it as "ROOL RNA". It matches the Rfam family "ROOL RNA". From Rfam's summary of the family: Firmicutes, Fusobacteria (1 example), Tenericutes (1 example). Environment (Cow rumen (57)) The record is from Rfam by way of RNAcentral.
CAUUUGAUUAUGGUUGUUGUAUAACUCAGUGCAGACACAAUAUCAUGUGGCUGAGAAUCCUCACCUAAUCAAGACGCCCCCUGCUUAGUAGCAAUGACGGAUACGUUAUUGCGGCAGUGCUUCCCACUCGUGAGUUUGGGAACAACGAGAAAUAAAGCUCUCGCCGGCCGGGAGGAUGUACUGGAAUUAUCGCUAUCAAAACUACUGUCUCGUCGCCGUCGCAAUAGAAGGCAAGCGUUAAAAGCGUAGCCCGAAUCUUGAUAAGGUUUAGGUUUGGUACCCUAUGCAGACUCAAGAAAUACCACCAAGGCGGUUUGUCAUGAGGUUGCAGUAAUGUAACUAUAAGACGAGAUCAAGGUACAAGUAGCCCAAGACAAUGACAUUUAGAAGAAAAGAUGCAAAAAUCUUUACUAAUGUGAAUGAUGGGUGAACGUUGCGGAUAACCACUUCCGCAUAGGCAAGUGUACAGCAUAAACUGUUACGGCAUAAAGUCUAGGGUCGCUCCCGAAAGCUCACUUAUGUCGUCCUAUUGAGUGAAUAUGAUAGAAGGUAAUGACCAGCAACCCGAAGGGGUAUGCGACAAUCAUAAUCAAG